Molecule: long non-coding RNA, 416 nt
Filed under: Gallus gallus (chicken)
Lineage: Eukaryota; Metazoa; Chordata; Aves; Galliformes; Phasianidae
Source: RNAcentral
CUUUUUUUGAAAGAAAAAAGGAAGUUGGAAAAAGAUUUACUUUGGGAGUUUGUUUUCCAUUUUCCCAGGAAGUUACUUACCUUAUGGCAUGAGAGACUUGCUUGUGGGAGCCAGAUCCACCUUGAUACAGCCUGGCCCCUCUAUGGGACAGGAGGUUGAAGGACUGCGUGGACAGAAGCUGAGCUGGUGGACAUGAGGAGAAGCAGGAAGAGCAAACUGAAGCAUCUCAAAUGCUGGGCAGAGGACCUAUGCUGGAACUGAAGCUGUGGGACAACUAGGAGAGCCUCUACAGGAUUCCCAAGCACAUGCGAUAGUUCAGGCACUCGAGUGGGCAAACUGCAGGUAGAGCCUGGGCACUCCUGGUGCUGGUUUCUCAACUCUGUUUCCCAAGUGUACAUCAAUCUCAACCUUGAAAG